GAUGAAGAACGCAGCGAAAUGCGAUAAGUAAUGUGAAUUGCAGAAUUCCGUGAAUCAUCGAAUCUUUGAACGCAUAUUGCGCCCCCUGGUAUUCCGGGGGGCAUGCCUGUCCGAGCGUCAUUGCUGCCCUCAAGCACGGCUUGUGUGUUGGGCUCCGUCCCCCCGGGGACGGGCCCGAAAGGCAGCGGCGGCACCGAGUCCGGUCCUCGAGCGUAUGGGGCUUUGUCACCCGCUCUGUAGGCCCGGCCGGCGCCAGCCGACAACCCAUCAUCCUUUUCAGGUUGACCUCGGAUCAGGUAGGGAUACCCGCUGAACUUAAGCAUAUCAAUAAGCGGAGGA
RNAcentral lists this unclassified non-coding RNA (339 nucleotides) under soil metagenome. RNAcentral's name for it is "partial contains 5.8S ribosomal RNA, internal transcribed spacer 2, and large subunit ribosomal RNA". The stretch from base 1 to 120 matches the Rfam family "5.8S ribosomal RNA", at positions 35 to 154 of the family's 154-position model. The record is from RNAcentral.